Papaver somniferum (opium poppy) is the source of this 2623-nucleotide RNA transcript. RefSeq lists it as uncharacterized. The transcript is spliced from 10 exons. The record is from RefSeq and is a predicted model, not a curated record. Lineage: Eukaryota; Viridiplantae; Streptophyta; Magnoliopsida; Ranunculales; Papaveraceae.
CUUAUCUUCAACCCCCCAAUAUCUCUCCCUCUCUUACCAAAAGGAUUUUUAUUUUACUUGGUUUCAGAAUGAUUCAUUGCAUAAUCCAUAUCAUACACCCUAAGCUUUUCAUUGAAUAUUUAUUAAUACGUUACUUAGUAUUAUAGAAAAGUGUAACCUAAACCCCAGCAAACAGACUAGUCUCAUCUAUUGUACCAUGGGUACAAAUCCACUACAUCAAGAAGUAUAUGACAUGAUUCAGCAAGAUGAUUGGAGAGAGAUCUUAAAAUGGAUUAAAACGUCACCUAUGAUGAUAGAUUUAAUCUUAAAAGCACCCAAAGGGGUAAUGAGAGAUCCAUUACUACAUCUAUUGAUUGCAUACGAUGAGACAAAUCUAGCACUAGAUGUAAUUGCAGAAAUGGAUACAAAAGAUCUAAGGAUGAAGAAUUUUAAUAAUGACACAGCUCUACACAUCGCAGCUGCUAAAGGAGACCAGAAAGUAGCGAAGGCUUUGCUUGACCGUGAUGUUGAACUUCACAACAUGAUAAACUCUGACGGAGAGAUCCCUCUACAUAGAGCUGCCCUAAAUGGAAUGAAAAAAAUGUUUUAUGAACUUUACAUCCCACAAAGCAACUUAAUGGUCAGAAGAUCUGACGGGGCUACCGUUUUACACUGUGCGGUCAUGGGCUAUCAUUUUGAACUUGCAGCUGAAAUAGUCGUAUUGGCGCCAGACUUGAUAUUUGCACGAGAUCAACUAGGUCUCACUGUACUUCACCACAUGGUCUCUAUUCCGGAUGCCUUCCCCAAUGGAUGCUACUUGGGUGUGCUUGAUUCACUGCUUUACAGAUGUAUUAUCUCUGAAAAGAAAGAGACUGCUCACCAACCCAUACGGAAGAACCUAUCGUAUAUGGAGAGCAUGGGACUAUCGGACCUUGAUGAUAUGUCCUUCAUGUUUCAUGGGGACACUGAUGAAGAGAUGUAUCACAAAGUCCAACAAGAAAAUCCUCGCAAAACUUCUGGGGAUGGUGCCCGUCCAAUUUCAGAAAUGGACGACGACGAAGAAGACUCUCAUCGGAUCUCAGUUGCCCCUGAUGAUGAUGAUGAUGAUGAUGCUACCGAUCAAAUAAAGAAAAGAAAAGGACACCAUGAUGAGAGGAAUUCAAGAGGACUUUUUGACAGCGACAUUGAUAGGGAUGAGAAGGUCACUCUCUUCCGAAAAUUCUCAAAGCCUUUAGAAAAAUGGAUAAAGCGUCGGGUCUACCACAUGAUAAAAAGAGCAAAAUACUGGGAUAAGCUUAUUGAUCUAAGAAAGCGACAUGAUAGCGCAGUUGAAUUGUUGUGUACUAUUGCUAAGAACAAAGAAUAUUGGUUGUCGUUAUCUCGUGGAAGUGCCCCUACUGAUCACCAUGGAAGUUCUUUAGCCCUUGAACAAAGAAAGCAUGACAAAUCGAUUGAUAAGUGGAUGGAGACUCCACUAACACUGGCUGCUACAAUGGGUCUCAGUGAGUUGGUUAAAUCGAUCGUACUAAAGCAUCCAGCAUCAGCAACAUAUCGUGGAAAUGAAGGAAAGAAUCUGCUUCAUGUAGCCGCUGAGAGUCGUCAAGAAAAGAUUCUUGAGAUCUUAGAGUUGGUAAAAGUACAGGACCCUAGAGUGCCUUAUCGACUGGAAAUGUCGAAGGACGACAAUAGUAACACUAUUCUGCACUUAGCUGCAUUGGCAAACAAUCAACCAAGCUCUCCUUUGCAGAUGGAAAAAGAAUUCCAAUGGUUUGAGCGAGUGAGACGUAUUCUUCCGAAGGAUUUAGUGAACCACCGUAACAAGGAUGGGAAAACAGCUAAAGAAGUAUUCACAGAGAGCCAUGAGAAGAUGGUGGAGGAUGCAAAAAACCAAUUAAGAGGCACUGCAACUUCUUGUUGCUCUGCGCUGGUGUCUGCUGUGACAUUUGCAGCCGGUUUUUCCAUUGCCAAUGAUAAGGACCAAAAGCAACAAAAUCUGGAUCGUCGUACUAGGAUCGUCUUGAAGAUAUUCUCUCACGCAUACAUGUUUGGGUUAUCAUGCACGGCCAUUGCUCUAGUGCAAUUUAUGGCUCUUUUAAUGGCUUCAUAUGAGGAAGAGGACUUCAGAUACUCCUUACCCAGGCAGUACAGGCUCGCCUUAGCUACACUAUUCACAGCAAUGGUGGCCAUGGUCAUAGCCUUCGGUUGCAAUACGUACAACAGCCUAUCUAAUGAACUCAGUCCUAACUGGGAAAACUACCUAUUUGUCUCCGUUGAAAUCCUCAUUGUCCCGUUCAUUUGUCUGCUAGUGAUGCGUUGUGGUGGCAUCAAAUUCCGCGUCAAAAAGAUAUAGCAAUUUGUUUCCAGAUUUCCUCCUCUAAUUAUGCCUCGAAGAUUCAUGGAGGUCUUCCCUACUGAGGGUUCAAUUUGGCGUCAAUAAUAUUACAAGUUUCUGGUUUGUGCAAGGGCCCACAGUAUAACUCUCCAUGACAUUAUUCGGCCACUUAAACUCAUCCAAACUAAUUAAUCCCGCAUUCUUCCUUCUCAUCACCGGCGUUGUCCUUGUUGAAUGUUUUUACGUAGAACGCCUAAUUAGCAUUGAAGUUGAGUUCACUUGUGUAGCUUCUCCAUGAUCUUCUUUGCAAUU